GUUGGUAGAGCAGUUGACUUUUAAUCAAUUGGUCGCAGGUUCGAAUCCUGCACGACCCACCA
Molecule: transfer RNA, 62 nt
Filed under: Escherichia coli
Lineage: Bacteria; Pseudomonadati; Pseudomonadota; Gammaproteobacteria; Enterobacterales; Enterobacteriaceae
Also listed under: 2 other names
Description: tRNA-Ser
Rfam family: tRNA
About the family: Transfer RNA (tRNA) molecules are approximately 80 nucleotides in length. Their secondary structure includes four short double-helical elements and three loops (D, anti-codon, and T loops).
Source: RNAcentral